AAAUGGGCCUUUCACCUGUGAAUGGGCCAUCGCCUUUCACCUGUAAAUUGAGGCUGAGCUUUCUAUAGAUUCACAAAAUUCGAAGAUUUUCACCGGACCCCCACCCCCUAGCACUUAGGUGCACCCAGCCCUGGCCACAUCUGAGGCCUCCAGCUCCCUCAUCAAGGACAGAAAGGUGCCUCUCUCCAAGUCUUCCAGCCCAGACACAUCCCGAAUCAGUGCCGCCAGCUGAGAUCAGCGUCCAGCUCCCGGGAGGGGCCACUUCUACGCGUCCCAGCCAUUGCCAGUCCUCAGCUUUGGCUGGCAUCACGCCCUUCUUCAAGAGAGCAUCGUCAAACCUCUUUGGGUCAGGAUGUCAGCUCGCCCUCUGCCUGUCCCUUAUGAGGACGAGGAUGUUUGUGGCAUUUAGAGCCCACCCUGACAAUCCAGGAGAACCUAACCCUCCCAAGGUCCCUAACUCAACCAUACCUGUGGAGUCCUGUUUUCCACUUAUUCUGCCAAAAUUAUUUCCAGUCUAUACGGAUUAAAUACCCAGCUGUUCUGCACACACCGUUGCUUUCAGUUACAUUGAGCACCGCAGCUCACAUUAGCGGAGCCCUUACGCUAGGCGCAGUCUUUAAUGGACUGCGUCAUUUGCCCCUGCCCAAAGAAGCCAGCGAUAUGCUAAUCCCCCUUGCACUGUUAAGGAAACCAGGGGCGCCCAAAGUGAAGUAACUUCGCCCACGGCCUCCAGAUGUGCUGCUGGGAUUCCUGCUUCAUCUCUGGCUGAAGACUCUGCCAUCUGCCACCAUUGAUUGCCUCCCAGUGUAAACCGGGCUUCUCUGUGAAGCUAUUUACAAAGUUUGGUCUCGUUUGAACUUUGAAGCAGAGUCUCUUAUCAGAUCCUACAAAUUGCAGACAUAACACAGGAAGAGCUGCUCUAGAAAGCUGAAAAUCCAAUUACAACAGCCAAGGGAAUGCAGUUCUUUGGGGGCUACAUUUGUGACCUCUGCCUUGAAGCACAGUCCCCGCGGGGAGAAGGGAGGCCCAGGCUCCACCUGGCCCUUGGACAGCACAUCUCGCCGCCUCUUUAUUACUCUUCCCUCUCCGAACUGUUGGGACCUUGGAUGUGAGUCCUGCUCUUGCUGGAUUUAUGGGCUGAACUCCUUGGCUAAGCUGCUUCUUCACUCACAAGGAAACUGCCGUGGAAGAUGUGGACGGGGAGCGUCUUGUAUGCAGGGUUUCCAGAAGCGGAAGGUCAACAGUAGCGAAAUGGAGAGAGGAUGUUACAAACAGUGGGGCUGAGAACAGGCCUCUCCUGCUCCCCAGGCGGCCUGGCCUCGGAGGCUCAGGGACAGGCGAC
RNAcentral lists this long non-coding RNA (1342 nucleotides) under Heterocephalus glaber (naked mole-rat). RNAcentral's name for it is "lncRNA (ENSHGLG00100046444.1)". The record is from RNAcentral. Lineage: Eukaryota; Metazoa; Chordata; Mammalia; Rodentia; Bathyergidae.